RNAcentral lists this unclassified non-coding RNA (333 nucleotides) under fungal sp. RNAcentral describes it as "partial internal transcribed spacer region". The stretch from base 1 to 46 matches the Rfam family "Eukaryotic small subunit ribosomal RNA", at positions 1786 to 1831 of the family's 1831-position model. The record is from RNAcentral. Lineage: Eukaryota; Fungi.
AAGUCGUAACAAGGUUUCCGUAGGUGAACCUGCGGAAGGAUCAUUAAAACAUAAUCCUUUUGGAUUUCAAAUCCGAAACCACAUACUGUGCACUGUAAACCGUUAGUUGCCCUUUGGUGUUUUUUUUUAUUGUCAGUACUCUGUUUCAUGCAACGCUUUGAAGUAGGUAUGCUGAUGAUAUCUAAGCAUCGGAGGGUAACAACCUUAUUCAAACUUUUACUUGUCAUUAUACAACAAUGUCUGAAGUCAAAACUUAUUUUUGGUUGAAAAGCUGAAAAUAUAAAAAAUUAAAAUUUAAAAAACAACUUUCAACAACGGAUCUCUUGGCUCCCA